AGGCAGCAGUGAGGAAUAUUGGACAAUGGAGGCAACUCUGAUCCAGCCAUGCCGCGUGCAGGAAGACUGCCCUAUGGGUUGUAAACUGCUUUUAUAUAGGAAGAAAAAGGAUCACGUGUGAUCUGUUGACGGUACUAUAUGAAUAAGGAUCGGCUAACUCC
RNAcentral lists this ribosomal RNA (161 nucleotides) under uncultured bacterium. RNAcentral's name for it is "partial 16S ribosomal RNA". It matches the Rfam family "Bacterial small subunit ribosomal RNA", at positions 346 to 504 of the family's 1533-position model. The record is from RNAcentral.